CAAGUCGAACGGGGUCCAACUGGUGGCAACACCGGGGAAGACCUAGUGGCGAACGGGUGCGUAACACGUGAGCAACCUGCCCCGAAGACCGGGAUAACACCGGGAAACCGAUGCUAAUACCGGAUACCCCCAAGUGCCCACAUGGGCGCAUGAGGAAAGGAUUCCGCUUCGGGAGGGGCUCGCGGCCUAUCAGCUUGUUGGUGGGGUAACGGCCUACCAAGGCGAUGACGGGUAGCUGGUCUGAGAGGACGAUCAGCCACACUGGGACUGAGACACGGCCCAGACUCCUACGGGAGGCAGCAGUGGGGAAUCUUGCGCAAUGGGCGAAAGCCUGACGCAGCAACGCCGCGUGGGGGAUGAAGGCCUUCGGGUUGUAAACCCCUUUCAGUAGGGACGAAAUUGACGGUACCUACAGAAGAAGCCCCGGCCAACUACGUGCCAGCAGCCGCGGUGAUACGUAGGGGGCGAGCGUUGUCCGGAUUGAUUGGGCGUAAAGAGCUCGUAGGCGGCUCGGUAAGUCGGGUGUGAAACCUCCAGGCUCAACCUGGAGACGCCACUCGAUACUGCCGUGGCUAGAGUCCGGUAGGGGACCACGGAAUUCCUGGUGUAGCGGUGAAAUGCGCAGAUAUCAGGAGGAACACCGGUGGCGAAGGCGGUGGUCUGGGCCGGCACUGACGCUGAGGAGCGAAAGCGUGGGGAGCGAACAGGAUUAGAUACCCUGGUAGUCCACGCCGUAAACGUUGGGCACUAGGUGUGGGGCCUCUUCGACGGGUUCCGUGCCGUAGCUAACGCACUAAGUGCCCCGCCUGGGGAGUACGGCCGCAAGGCUAAAACUCAAAGGAAUUGACGGGGGCCC
RNAcentral lists this ribosomal RNA (856 nucleotides) under uncultured Actinomycetes bacterium. RNAcentral's name for it is "bacterial SSU rRNA". It matches the Rfam family "Bacterial small subunit ribosomal RNA", at positions 58 to 922 of the family's 1533-position model. Lineage: Bacteria; Bacillati; Actinomycetota; Actinomycetes. The record is from RNAcentral.